This 961-nucleotide ribosomal RNA is filed under the name Crocidura neglecta (Neglected shrew). RNAcentral describes it as "partial 16S ribosomal RNA". It matches the Rfam family "Bacterial large subunit ribosomal RNA", at positions 961 to 2577 of the family's 2925-position model. RNAcentral also lists the same sequence under 1 other name. The record is from RNAcentral. Lineage: Eukaryota; Metazoa; Chordata; Mammalia; Eulipotyphla; Soricidae.
AAAUUCUAAUGUAAACUUAAAUGUUAAUCUGUANAGGUACAGCUCUACAGAAUAAGAUUACAACCUUAACUAGUGAGUAAAUUUAUCCAAUAACCAUAGUUGGCCUAAAAGCAGCCACCAAUUAAGAAAGCGUUCAAGCUCAACAAUAAAAUUUAUAUUUAAUUCAAAAAACAAUAUAAACUCCUAGUAUAACCACUGGAUUAUUCUACUCAUCCGUAGAAGAAAUACUGUUAAAAUGAGUAACAAGAUUUUAUAUCUCCAUACACACGUGUAUAUCAGACCGAAUUCCAACUGAUAGUUAACAAUUAAAUAAACCUAUAUAUUAAUUAAUAAUUUAUUAUUAUAUUGUUAAUCCAACACCGGAGUGUUUACAAGGAAAGAUUAAAAAAAGUAAAAGGAACUCGGCAAACAUAAACCCCGCCUGUUUACCAAAAACAUCACCUCUAGCAUUACCAGUAUUAGAGGCACUGCCUGCCCAAUGACAUUAGUUUAACGGCCGCGGUAUCCUGACCGUGCAAAGGUAGCAUAAUCAUUUGUUCCUUAAUUAGGGACUUGUAUGAAUGGCCCCACGAGGGUUUGGCUGUCUCUUACUUUUAAUCAGUGAAAUUGACCUUCCCGUGAAGAGGCGGAAAUAUAAAAAUAAGACGAGAAGACCCUAUGGAGCUUAAAUUAAAGUGUUCAACAAAAUUUUAACUUAAUCCAACAGGAAUAGCAACAUUUUAACUGAACAAUAAAUUUUGGUUGGGGUGACCUCGGAGCAUAACAAAACCUCCGAGCAGUUUAACUUAGACUUACUAGUCAAGUGAAUAUAAUCUAUUGGUCCAUCAUAUUGAUCAACGAAACAAGUUACCCUAGGGAUAACAGCGCACUCCUAUUUGAGAGUUCAUAUCGACAAUAGGGUUUACGACCUCGAUGUUGGAUCAGGACACCCAAAUGGUGUAGCAGCUAUUAAAGGUUCGUU